This 505-nucleotide long non-coding RNA is filed under the name Equus asinus (donkey). Its description in RNAcentral is "lncRNA (ENSEASG00005036522.1)". The record is from RNAcentral. Lineage: Eukaryota; Metazoa; Chordata; Mammalia; Perissodactyla; Equidae.
GGGAGAUGCUCCUGCUGCACUCGCUCCUGAGCAGACCUCUUCAGGAACAGAGGGGUUAAUCUUGACGUGCAAGUCUCCCUCCGUUAUCAUAGCAGCCCGGCUAAGGCAGUGAGAAGAGUUCUUGGGCUGUGGAGAAGAGCAUGGGAUUUUAGAUGAAGAGUACAGAUAAGUGACAAGUGUUAUAUGCACCUCUUGGUUUUCAGUGAAACUGAAGAUGAUGCGACAGAAAGUUUUUGUGUGAAAAAUUUUUGAAACCUGGUUUUAAAUGUAACUGUGAACUUAAGCAGUUACAAUUCAUUCCAAAUCAGGAACACGAAGGAGCUGCGGAUCUAGUUAGGCAGAAAUUAUCAUAUUUUUUACACUAGAAGAGGAGAAAUAUAGAAGUAUUACCAAAAUUUACCUUAAUAUAAUCAUCACAAUGAAGCAUUAGUGAACAUAAAACUUAAUAACUUUGUUCCAUUUGAAUCAGAAAAUUCACAACUUUUAUGGGAUGCAGAUGGUGAAA